This 16-nucleotide transfer RNA is filed under the name Polythore procera. Its description in RNAcentral is "partial tRNA-Leu". The record is from RNAcentral. RNAcentral also lists the same sequence under 1 other name. Lineage: Eukaryota; Metazoa; Arthropoda; Insecta; Odonata; Polythoridae.
UUAAUAUGGCAGAUAG